AACUUCUUUCGUCUUUUCUCACAGUGUGCGCUUACCUAGACGGCCGGGCAGUUAGGAUCGUCUAUUGGAUGUGAAACCAGAGAUGCCCGCCAACCUGGAAUAGAGAGGAAGAGAGCAAGCAGAUUUGAACCUAUCUGCUUUCAAGCUGUUCAUCAUGAUGAAACUUAGACACAAAAAUAAAAAGCCAGGUGAAGGUUCCAAGGGCCACAAGAAGAUAAGUUGGCCCUACCCUCAGCCUGCAAAGCAAAAUGGGAAGAAAGCAACCUCCAAAGUGCCCUCUGCACCUCAUUUUGUUUACCCCAAUGAUCAUGCCAAUCGAGAGGGUGAAUUAAAGAAGAAGAGGGUUGAGGAGAUGAUGGAGAAGCAGCAAGCUGCCCGGGAGCAAGAAAGACAAAAACGCAGGACCAUCGAGAGCUACUGUCAGGAUGUCCUAAGACGCCAGGAGGAGUUUGAGCAUAAGGAGGAAGUUUUGCAGGAAUUAAAUAUGUUUCCUCAGCUGGAUGACGAGGCCACGAGGAAGGCUUAUUACAAGGAGUUCCGUAAGGUGGUGGAAUACUCUGAUGUGAUUCUGGAAGUCCUGGAUGCCAGAGACCCAUUAGGCUGCCGCUGCUUCCAAAUGGAGGAGGCUGUCCUGCGAGCACAAGGCAACAAGAAACUGGUCCUAGUCUUGAACAAGAUUGGAAACAGAGGCCCCCUCAGGGAGGGCUAACGCAUCCCAUAGACCAGACUGUCCUUUCUAACUCCAACCUGCGGACUGGAUGGGAAUGACAGGGCCAGUUGGGAGACCUGUUGAUGACCUGGUCCCCAAGGAGGUUGUGGAGAAAUGGCUGGAUUACCUUCGGAAUGAGUUGCCAACCGUGGCUUUCAAGGCCAGUACCCAGCAUCAGGUCAAAAA
This 895-nucleotide small RNA is filed under the name Pongo abelii (Sumatran orangutan). Its description in RNAcentral is "processed transcript". Lineage: Eukaryota; Metazoa; Chordata; Mammalia; Primates; Hominidae. The record is from RNAcentral.